CAGCAGCCGCGGUAAUACGUAGGUGGCAAGCGUUGUCCGGAAUUAUUGGGCGUAAAGCGCGCGCAGGCGGUUUCUUAAGUCUGAUGUGAAAGCCCCCGGCUUAACCGGGGAGGGUCAUUGGAAACUGGGAGACUUAGAGUGCAGAAGAGGAGAGUGGAAUUCCAUGUGUAGCGGUGAAAUGCGUAGAUAUAUGGAGGAACACCAGUGGCGAAGGCGACUCUCUGGUCUGUAACUGACGCUGAGGCGCGAAAGCGUGGGGAGCAAACAGGAUUAGAUACCCCUGUAGUCCCUGUCUCUUAUA
This 301-nucleotide ribosomal RNA is filed under the name uncultured bacterium. RNAcentral describes it as "partial 16S ribosomal RNA". It matches the Rfam family "Bacterial small subunit ribosomal RNA", at positions 509 to 808 of the family's 1533-position model. The record is from RNAcentral.